This 253-nucleotide ribosomal RNA is filed under the name uncultured bacterium. Its description in RNAcentral is "partial 16S ribosomal RNA". It matches the Rfam family "Bacterial small subunit ribosomal RNA", at positions 524 to 776 of the family's 1533-position model. The record is from RNAcentral.
GACAGAGGUGCCAAGCGUUAGGCGGAAUCACUGGGCUUAAAGCGUGUGUAGGUGGAUGCCUAAGUGCCUUGUGAAAUCCCACGGCUCACCCGUGGAACUGCUUGGCAUACUGGGUGUCUUGAGCCACUUAGGGGUCGCUGGAACAAACGGUGGAGCGGUGAAAUGCGUAGAUAUCGGGAGGAACACCAGUGGCGAAGGCGACUUCCUGGCCUGUUCUUGACGCUGAGGCGCGAAAGCUAGGGUAGCAAACGGG